GUAGGGAAUAUUGGGCAAUGGAGGCAACUCUGACCCAGCCAUGCCGCGUGCAGGAUGACGGCCCUCUGGGUUGUAAACUGCUUUUAUACGGGAAGAAAAAAUACUACGUGUAGUAUACUGACGGUACCGUAAGAAUAAGGAUCGGCUAACUCCGUGCCAGCAGCCGCGGUAAUACGGAGGAUCCAAGCGUUGUCCGGAUUUAUUGGGUUUAAAGGGUGCGUAGGCGGAUCUUUAAGUCAGUGGUGAAAGCCUGCAGCUUAACUGUAGAAUUGCCAUUGAUACUGGCGCUCUUGGGUGCGCUUGAAGUGGGCGGAAUGUGCCGUGUAGCGGUGAAAUGCUUAGAUAUGCUACGGAACACCGAUUGCGAAGGCAGCUUACUAUUUCGUAAUUGACGCUGAGGCACGAAAGCGUGGGUAGCGAACAGGAUUAGAUACCCUUGUAGUCC
RNAcentral lists this ribosomal RNA (445 nucleotides) under uncultured bacterium. RNAcentral's name for it is "partial 16S ribosomal RNA". It matches the Rfam family "Bacterial small subunit ribosomal RNA", at positions 354 to 796 of the family's 1533-position model. The record is from RNAcentral.